Molecule: ribosomal RNA, 1365 nt
Filed under: Campylobacter jejuni
Lineage: Bacteria; Pseudomonadati; Campylobacterota; Epsilonproteobacteria; Campylobacterales; Campylobacteraceae
Description: bacterial SSU rRNA
Rfam family: Bacterial small subunit ribosomal RNA
Source: RNAcentral
AGUCGAACGAUGAAGCUUUUAGCUUGCUAGAAGUGGAUUAGUGGCGCACGGGUGAGUAAGGUAUAGUUAAUCUGCCCUACACAAGAGGACAACAGUUGGAAACGACUGCUAAUACUCUAUACUCCUGCUUAACACAAGUUGAGUAGGGAAAGUUUUUCGGUGUAGGAUGAGACUAUAUAGUAUCAGCUAGUUGGUAAGGUAAUGGCUUACCAAGGCUAUGACGCUUAACUGGUCUGAGAGGAUGAUCAGUCACACUGGAACUGAGACACGGUCCAGACUCCUACGGGAGGCAGCAGUAGGGAAUAUUGCGCAAUGGGGGAAACCCUGACGCAGCAACGCCGCGUGGAGGAUGACACUUUUCGGAGCGUAAACUCCUUUUCUUAGGGAAGAAUUCUGACGGUACCUAAGGAAUAAGCACCGGCUAACUCCGUGCCAGCAGCCGCGGUAAUACGGAGGGUGCAAGCGUUACUCGGAAUCACUGGGCGUAAAGGGCGCGUAGGCGGAUUAUCAAGUCUCUUGUGAAAUCUAAUGGCUUAACCAUUAAACUGCUUGGGAAACUGAUAGUCUAGAGUGAGGGAGAGGCAGAUGGAAUUGGUGGUGUAGGGGUAAAAUCCGUAGAUAUCACCAAGANNNCCCAUUGCGAAGGCGAUCUGCUGGAACUCAACUGACGCUANNGCGCGAAAGCGUGGGGAGCAAACAGGAUUAGAUACCCUGGUAGUCCACGCCCUAAACGAUGUACACUAGUUGUUGGGAUGCUAGUCAUCUCAGUAAUGCAGCUAACGCAUUAAGUGUACCGCCUGGGGAGUACGGUCGCAAGAUUAAAACUCAAAGGAAUAGACGGGGACCCGCACAAGCGGUGGAGCAUGUGGUUUAAUUCGAAGAUACGCGAAGAACCUUACCUGGGCUUGAUAUCCUAAGAACCUUAUAGAGAUAUGAGGGUGCUAGCUUGCUAGAACUUAGAGACAGGUGCUGCACGGCUGUCGUCAGCUCGUGUCGUGAGAUGUUGGGUUAAGUCCCGCAACGAGCGCAACCCACGUAUUUAGUUGCUAACGGUUCGGCCGAGCACUCUAAAUAGACUGCCUUCGUAAGGAGGAGGAAGGUGUGGACGACGUCAAGUCAUCAUGGCCCUUAUGCCCAGGGCGACACACGUGCUACAAUGGCAUAUACAAUGAGACGCAAUACCGCGAGGUGGAGCAAAUCUAUAAAAUAUGUCCCAGUUCGGAUUGUUCUCUGCAACUCGAGAGCAUGAAGCCGGAAUCGCUAGUAAUCGUAGAUCAGCCAUGCUACGGUGAAUACGUUCCCGGGUCUUGUACUCACCGCCCGUCACACCAUGGGAGUUGAUUUCACUCGAAGCCGGAAUACUAA